This is a non-coding RNA of Doryrhamphus excisus (bluestripe pipefish), 8928 nucleotides long. Lineage: Eukaryota; Metazoa; Chordata; Actinopteri; Syngnathiformes; Syngnathidae. The record is from RefSeq and is a predicted model, not a curated record.
UCCCACCCUCGGCCUCUGUGUGGAGUUUGCAUGUUCUCCCCGUGCAUGCGUGGGUUUUCUCCGGGUACUCCGGUUUCCUCCCACAUUCCAAAAACAUGCUAGGUUAAUUGGCCACUCCAAAUUGUCCAUAGGUAUGAAUGUGAGUGUGAAUGGUUGUUUGUCUAUAUGUGCCCUGUGAUUGGCUGGCCACCAGUCCAGGGUGUACCCCGCCUCUCGCCUGAAGACAGCUGGGAUAGGCUCCAGCACCCCCGCGACCCUCGUGAGGAUAAGCGGUAGAAAAUGAAUGAAUGAAUGAAAUAAGCAAACCAAGAAUCAAGUUUAUUUGUAGUUCUAGAUGUAUUUAAGGUGUUUUUACUCACUUAUUUUGUUUCUCCUACAAGGAAAUUAUUUUCCCACAGCAUUUUACACAUCAUAUGCAAAUAAUGUGUAAACUACGUAGAUGAUGACAUCAUUUCCAAGACAACCAAUAGCUAGUCUUCUUACUGAAACGUUAGCAAUAGUGUUGGCUACGGUGUACAAGCUACCUCCGGCAGUUAGAGAUGGGCUCUUUGGCUCUUUGAGGGGAGCCGUUUCUUUCAAAGAGCCGUUUAAAAAAACGGCUCAUUUGGCUCAUUUUUAUAUUUAUUAAGUUUUAAGAAGCCAGCCUGGCCUUAAUUAUUUUUAUCCUGGAAAUAAUCACUGGGAGGAAUGAAUUUAGAUAUCACACCGGUAUGAGUUUGAAUUAUUCUGAAAUACAGAUUCUAAAGUUUUAAAGUCUGAUUUGGAUUCACUGUAAAUAUUCCACAGGGUGCUGCUGCUCUCCAAGGCAGGGUGCAUUCACGUGUUUCUGUGUUUUUUGGUUUUUACUAACACACUCACGUGAAGGCACCAUGCACCGCUGGGCUGCGCUCCUCCCCAUGUAACUGGUGGGGGGCGGGGGUCCCAUCGUUCAUGUUAAUGAGCCGUUCAAAAGAACCGGUUCGUUCGUGAACGUCACAACACUUCCGGCAGUCUGAAGAAGCACAUAAAGACGCUUUGUUGACUUCCAAAACCUUUGAGCCUCCGGGAAACUUUGGCCUUUGAUGCAAGGCGAGGAUAUUGUUAAGAGAACAUGUGCGCUUUACCUGAUCUGCAGGCGAUGUCCACGUCUUUCUCAAAGUCUGUCUGUAAAAACAACACGGUCACAUGAUAAGAUACAGUGCACCAUCACUAUGACGAAACCCUGCAGCGAGUCAAAGACCGCAAAGAGGAUCUGAAAGAGGAUGGAACGCUUGUCCGUCAUGGCGAGCACUGCGGACAUCCAGGUCAAGGCCAGUAGAGGUAGGACGACACAGGAACUCCACAGGGACGCCCUGAGAGGAGGCAUAUAGAGAACUGUAUGGAGCUGGUAGUAAUAUAAGGGCGGCCGUUAAAUUCAUAAGCACAAACAAUUUGAUUUUUUUUCAUGUCUGCUGUGAUGUGAUUUAUAGCGAGAACGUGAGUUGCCACGGCAGUGGUUCCACAUCAGCGUGGUGAACCUGCUGUAUAUGCAGCAUUGUCUCAUCGAUUAACAAGUCACUUACAUUGCAUUGCUAGCUGUAGUCGCUGACAAAGCAGUCGUUGAUACGACGCCGCAUUUGGCGCACUUGAGAGUUAAUCCCGUGUGAGGCUCACUCAUCUGUCUGUGGGGCAGAAGAGACAACGGCGUGACCAACGACGCUAACAACCACUCACGCUGCAUCGUUAAAUAUUAGUAACGGCACACGCAGCCAGCUUGUGGGCGUACUACAGCAUUUCAUCUUGAACUUAUUCUGCCAAAGAAAUGUGCAUUCAUGUCACUCCCAGGAGAGAGUUGACCUCUUUACGUUUAUGUCCUAUGCUUUCUUUUAGACGCCAUUUAAAUGAGCUCUGAAUUGCCAUAUAUGUUUAAAGCAGCUGUAAAUAUGCAUAGAUUUUUGCUCCCAGACUCCCCUUAUGGUUGUAAAGUGUAGUUUACUUAUAAGCAACUAUCGUGUAUCAAAAUCUAGAACAAUGUUAACAUGCAAUUAAAAAGCAUGGGACUUUUUUUUUUUUAGCAUUUAGCAGCUUUGUUACAAACAUUCAUUCAUUCAUUUUCUACCGCUUUUUCCUCACGAGGGUCGCGGGGGUGCUGGAGCCUAUCCCAGCUGUCUUCGGGCGGGAGGCGGGGUACACCCUGGACUGGUCGCCAGCCAAUCACAGGGCACAUAUAGACAAACAACCAUUCACACUCACAUUCAUACCUAUGGACAAUUUGGAGUGGCCAAUUAACCUAGCAUGUUUUUGGAAUGUGGGAGGAAACCGGAGUACCCGGAGAAAACCCACGCAUGCACGGGGAGAACAUGCAAACUCCACACAGAGAUGGCCGAGGGUGGGAAUUGAACCCUGGUCUCCUAGCUGUGAGGUCUGUGCGCUAACCACUAGACCGCCGUGCCGCUUUGUUACAAACAAAUGAAUAUAAUUUUUUUUCUGUAUUAUUAUUAAUAAUUUUCAAAAUAACCACCAACUGAUCAUUAACUGACCCAAUUAGCCAAUCAAGGAAUUGUCAUAAAAUGUCCUACCCUAGCAAUAAAACAAAGAACUUAAUGUCUUGAAAUGAGCACAUGAUGAUUAAAAUGUCCUGCAAAGUGUGCGCAAGCAAUUGAAACAGCUCUGAAAAGAAUCGUUAGAACAAAGGACACAUCGUUGGUUUAAAAACAUGCACCACUUUAGUCAUGAAUUAAUAAAGAAGAAAAAUGAAGGUACUAACAAGGACGUGCUGUCAUACCCUGCACGAUGCUUCAUCUUCUUGUCCAGUAUACCAUCCCUGGACACUAAUUUAUUAAACACCAGGAUACCGAUCACCAUGUUGACCUGAAAGUGAAGGGAACAGAUCUUCAAUAAAUCAGACCAAUGCAACCAUUAUUCCAAACUUAAUGUCAAAUGUAUGGUUUGCCGACAUUACAAUUUCCAUUAGUAGCCGAUGACUGAUGUCAUUGUCAUAUUUCUCCACCUCAAUUUUGCGUGUGUUCACUGAGUUUUGACCUCUUGCUUCUGGUUUUUUUUCCCUCAUAUCUGUCACAUUUCAGCCAGCGGAUGAGCCAUGCCAUGCACACUCAGUCCGGCACGGCAGCCUUAGGAAAAGAUCUGCCUAAUAAGAAACACUUUUCCUCUCAAAGGCACCUUCGACUUGCAUUAGCAGCAACUCCACUGACACAAAACUGGGGCAGCAGAGUGUGAUUUUGAGUUUAAUACAGCAGCUUUAUCAAAAAAUAAACCAGCUUGUUCCUAAAAAAGGACAAAUCAAUAAGUCAUUAUUGUAUUCUGAUGAGAAACUUUAGUUGAUGGUGCAAAAUGCACAACCCAAACUUGCUACCUGAAUGUUACAUAUGUACAAUCAAUGCGAUCCUGCCACUUAUUAAUAAGAUUAAGAUUAAGAUAUGCCUUUAUUCGUCCCUCAGUGGGGAAAUUUGUAUUGCACAGCAGCAAGAGUACAGAAUCAGUGAAGCAGUACAAAAUACACAAUAUAGAAAAAUAAACAAUAUAAACAACCCAAGUAUUAACAAAAUCAACAGUUUUUCCCAGAGUUAUAUACAAUACAGUAUGUAGAUAAUAUGAAAUAAUAUUAACUCUCUAGUUACACAUAUUUUACAUGUAAAAGUGUCAUGCAAUCUGCUAUAUGUGCACUUUGAAAUCAUUUAUUUGAUGUAAAGUGUGUUAUAAAUGUAUUAUUAUUGUUAUUUUAUUAGAAUUAUUAUUAUUAUUAGUUAUAGUAAUGUUAUUAUAUUAUUAUUAUUAUUAUUUUGUUAAUAAUAAUAAUAUUACUACCAUUAUUAUAUUAAUAUUAUUAACAACAAUAUUAAUAUAAUAGUAGUAUUAUUAUCAUUAGUUAGAGAGUUAAUAUGAGGCAUUAUGGAAAUACUUCACAUGGAACUUACUAUAUUAUAAAAAUAACCCUCCAUUACAGAAAUGACUAGACAACAACAGAUAAUCCACACAGCCAAAACCCAGGUUUUUGUGAAAAUAUGCAUUUCAAGCAUAACUUUCACUUUGACACAAAUUUAUGCCACAACAGAAACAACAAAAACAAAACAAAAAAUGUAAAAAACGUAUAAAUGUCUUUGGGAUUUUGUGUUUGGGUUGAAAAAAACAUAAAUAAGUCUUCUGUAGCGAAUGAGUUAAUGUGAUCUUUCACCCCAACGCCUCACACCAAGUAUUAAAUGAUGAAUGCCACCUUAUGCUACAACGGUGAGUAGUUUGGGUCCCAAAGAAAUAACAUUUUAACACCUAAUGGGAUGCCAUCCAUCUUGUCCUCAUUCGGGUCACAGGUGAGCUGGAGUCUAUCCGAGCUAACUUUGGUCACCAUCCAAUCACAGCCUCAAUCUCUUGACUCAGAGGCUAACAUGUUAAACACUCGUCCAACGCAUUAAACACUCUACCCGAAGUUUUGACUUUGAAACCACAAACCUCCCCAGAGACUUUGUUUGCAGCUUUCUAUGCAACAUAAGCGCAAUUAUCUUUGCUUAAAUGUUGAGUGCCGCUUCUUUAUAGGGCACCUCAAUAUCUCAUAUCUGCCCUGCAGUCAAGAAUUGGAUCUAAUGGUUGAAACUUACCAGAACAACAGCAGCUGCGGGCCCAACAAAGGCGUACAGGAGCCCCCCCUCCAAAGACAGCCAACAGCUGCAGGGAAAGCAAGCAGUAACAGUUAACUUGCAGCCAGCCAUUAACAUCGGAGUUAAUGGCACACAUAAUAACAUCCGCUUGUAUUUUCCUCAGUUGUCAGGGGAGCAAGCGCCAUAUGCUGGAACUCUAUUUGCAGAUUUUCACACACUAAAAAGAAUCUAAGCAUUGUUCAUUCCUUUGGUAUCAAGCUGAGAUACAACUCACGAGAAAUUGGGGUCUUGCUGAGCGAUCUCGAAAUCCGAUUGGGUUCAUGCUACUGUCUUUAUGGGUCUAUUUAAGAUAAGUGAGCCACUGCGGAGACACUUAAUCAUUGCGCUUAAGUGUCGCAAUAGAUGUGCUACAUGUGCACUGAAUGUUAAAAGGAUUAAAAAAGGCAAACUUACUAUAAGGGUGUCCCAUAGCCUUUUGUUUUGGUGAAGCCCAUUGAUACAGCAACCACUAAAGCCGGCAAUCCUUGAAGAGAAAACAAUAAUUAGCCAAGCGCUCUUGUGUUAUGGGAUACAUAUGAGACAUUUUGUCUGCAAUAUGCUGUGAAAAUCCUUACCAAUUCCCACAAAAUAACAUUAGUUUACACAAUGAAAUAUGUCAACAGUGCACCAUGAACCCGGAAAAGGAAAUUGUGAUUUCACAUGAUAAAAGUUCGAGCAGCCCUACAGUAAAAAUCACUGUACAGUGAAAAACAAACAAACAAACAAACAUCCGAUGCCUUGGCAUGAUGGGCUCAGUUCUUACAACUGUGUGCUCAGAAUGUUAAUGUUCUGGAAAGCGCAUGAAGGUGCUAUUGAUGUAAUCGGCUUCCUCGAGUCAGGAGGCGCAUGCAGCCCCCGUGGCCAUCCACAAUGUCUCUCUGCAGUGCUGAAGAUGUGAAGUGUACACACGGGUGUCAUAAAUCACCGCCCGCGUACAGUUGCAAUAUUUCACACAGGCCGAAUGAAGAUACGAGUAACAUUUGGCGUGCAUCCCUUUUUCUAAUCAAUUUUGAAAAUGUUUUAAAUAUAGAAAGUUAUGCAGAUAAAUGAGAUUUCAAUCAAUCAAAAGCAUUGGGUAAUAUACAAACAAUCUGUCUUCCUUAACAUCCCAUGAUGUGUAAUGGCAUCUUUGUUAUAAAUCUAAGUGAAUAGGAGACAGGAAGCGGUGGCUCUGCAAUGGCUAGGAGAGCCAUGUUUGUUGCUAGGUAACAAGAAGAAUGAACGUGGGCUCUUUCAAAAACAAAUUCAUUGUUGUAUUUUUUUUCUUUUAAAAUGAGACAUCGGAAAGAAAGAACCUUUUGGACCAUGAUCCACUCAAAAAUGUGUCAAAUCAUGAACAUUGAGGUUUUUUUUUGUUUUUUUUCUUUCUUUGCUUAUGCAAUAGAAAAUCACAAUAUCGAACAGUAAUUUGAUUUUACAAAGCAUUGCUGGCCCCCUUAGGUUUAAUCAAAAGACAGGAAUUUCACUGUAUGUUGGAGAGUUUGAGGAAAAUCUAUUGCUUACGUACCCCAACCUAGACAAAGAAAACGCUUGCGGAUCAGCCUGGUCCGAACCUUUCCCGUCACUGCCAUGUAGGACUGCCAAGCCUCUGUGAGAACCCAGCAGAACGAUGCCAAGAAGAAGAAGUGCAGAAGGGCCGUGGUCAUAAUGCAGACACCCUAGUCACACAUGGGAGAGAAAAGAAAGAUGCCAGUUUCAUGAAUAACAUGCGUAAAGCUUGGCGGACGUAAUAUAGAUUCCCUAACAGCAAGAGGUGCCAGUCAUUGCAGUGUAUGGAACAAAACAUAAAUAUCAGUAGGCUGCACAGCUUCUGAGGCAACAGUGGCCCUAAAAGAUCAGAGCUGGUGGACUGCGUCGCAUUCCUCUGCAUUGACCCUCAUUAGUAUGCCGGGGAUCCCACCUGCAGGCAUGCGAACCAAGGUCAACCGCUGUACCCAGAAACACAAAACCAAAACACUUCCUAAAUGGUACAGAAAGCCUGCUGGAGGCAGGAGAUAGCAUUCAAGUCAAAUAAUGGAGCAGCUCUUUGCAGCUUCAUUAGCUCGUCCAUCUUUGUUCCACAGAGAAACAUCGCCACGGGGGGAUUGUUUAGGAGAGGAUUAGAAAUAAAGAGAUAUCCUUAAGUGUCUUGUCAAGGCACACUGACAUCUGACAGAGACGGAAUUGCGCUUUUUUGUAAAUCGUCUCAGGCAAUCUAGUUUAGUUCGGGGUAAAGACCGAAGUGUAUCAUCCCAUCCACACUGUGUGACUUCCCCCCUCUGAGAGAACCACUCUAAAUCCACCCGUUAUGCUCACAGGGUUCAAACCAGAGAAUAAUCCUGUAUUACCUCAUACCUGACAAGUGGGUAGGUAUUUGCUUAAACCCACAGAGGGCAUUAAAAGUGCCGUCUGCCUUGGUUAUGUACUGCAUGGGAGGUGCAAACUUCCCAAUGUGUACAUUACUCCUUCUUGCUGCUUCGACAUUGCAAACCCGCUCCCAUGUAACACACACAAGCAUUGGUUAUGUUUGUUGUCCGCUAAUAAUAGUGAUUUGUAGUAUAUGAUUUGUAGUAUAUGAUAGUGUAUGAUUUGUAAUAGUGAUUUGGUAAAGUUUAGCUCCUAAUGUUAGCUUUCAUUGCAUGUAUAGCCUAUUAUAACCACAUGACGGCUACGUAUUGUCACUUGCUUCUCUGAGAGACAGCAAUUGCUGGAGAGACAGACAUUUACCCCUACGCCAGAUGGGGUGAGUGACAGCCAUGAACAACAAUCAUUUUAUCCAGGCCGAAUGAAAUUAUGACUUUAGUUUAACUUUGAGGCUACUUGUGUUCAAUCUGUUUGUUGAAACCAGUAUUGGUAACAUCUCCUACCUGGUGGUGAUGUUCUUACAGUUCUUGGUUGAAAAGAACUAUGUGGAAUGAAAUACCAAAUGAACUUUUGUGGAGUAGGGUCUUCUUUACUAACAAAAUAGGCUAAAAGGAUACAAUUUAUUAAACAUAUGCACGUACUUAUAUGUAUUACUGUGGUUGUAGUCUGCAGUGAUGAAGUACCUCUAUCCAUUCAAUUUCCAUAAAGCUUAUCCUCACUCAGGUCAGGGCAAGCUGGAGCCUAUCCCAGCUGUCUUUGGGCGAGAAGCGGGGUACACGCUGGACUGGUGGCCAGCCAAUCACAGGGCACAUAUCGACAAACAACCAUUCACACUCACAUUCAUACCUAUGGACAAUUUGGAAUCACCGAUUGACCUAACGGGGGAUGCCCAAGCGGUUCGAAUCCAGGUAUUCCCGAUCUCCUGACUGUGGCCUACAUACUAACCACUCAUCCUCCGUGCAACACUGAGAACCCAAUUAUUACAUUAUUGAUGCAGUAUAAUACAACCUGUACAAGCUGUAUCUGUACAGCACAACUGUCAGCAAUACAGACAUCGUAAUGGGUCUGAAUAGUGCAGGUGUACCAAAUGAAGUGUCAAGUAAGUUGACAUAAAGAGCCAUACAUAUCAGGAACACAAUCUAUUAAUACACCCUGUUGACCAAUGGAUGUUUUUUUUCCAGUGUUCCCUCUGUGCUAUUCAUGCUCAUCUGCAUUACACAAGGAUGACUAUACCAUUCAGCCUCAUUAGUGUGUGCAGAUAAAAACUCAGCAUUGGGAAAGACGACAGGGACAUUAUGAAAAGCAUGUUAUGAAAGCGAUGGACGGUUGCAGGCAGUCAUACAAAAAAAUGUGAGAUUGAAACCGGGAAGUCACACUGGCCUUUAGAAAAGCAAAUGUCGGGAAAUGUGGAGCUCAGUGUGUUGGUAUCCAUGGAAACAAAGGAAGUGAGGAAGGACCACAUUAAAACAUGGCAGAAGUGAUAGACACUGAGACUGGGUGGAGGGUGAUGGGGAGCAGUUAAAGACGGUCCAGCAACAGGAUGCUUAGGCCAUACAUUUGAAGAGUCAUUAUUCAUUAUUUCCAAAUGCAUAGCACGUUAAGCUUGAAUAAAUUAAUUCAUGAAUUACACAUUCUUGAAAGCAAACGUAUAAUGUCAGGCAUUGGCAACAUUGAGCACACAAAAAUGGUAUUUCAGUAAUAUAUACAGUAGAGUGAGGCAAAUCAUACUCUUGAAGCAUUAGAAACUGACUCUAAUUGGAUUAAACUCAUGUUGACUUAGCGGUUACGCUAAAUCCCUCAGAGCACUGAGCAGUUUCAUUUGCCAAUCACUGAAUUGUUUCCUUAUUUUCUCUCCUCACGGAUUACAAGAGAGCCACUUGCAGGAGAACACAGGGAGCAUGCACAAUUGACAGUAACUCUUUUAACCUUUGGCUGCAGACAAUAAUAAUCAACCUGUUACUCACAAGUAGUUACAGUG